Molecule: ribosomal RNA, 305 nt
Filed under: uncultured bacterium
Lineage: Bacteria
Description: bacterial SSU rRNA
Rfam family: Bacterial small subunit ribosomal RNA
Source: RNAcentral
GCCUACGGGGGGCAGCAGUGGGGAAUAUUGGGCAAUGGGCGCAAGCCUGACCCAGCAACGCCGCGUGAAGGAAGAAGGCUUUCGGGUUGUAAACUUCUUUUAUGAGGGACGAAACAAAUGACGGUACCUCAUGAAUAAGCCACGGCUAACUACGCGCCAGCAGCCGCGGUAAUACGUAGGUGGCAAGCGUUAUCCGGAUUUACUGGGUGUAAAGGGCGUGUAGGCGGGACUGCAAGUCAGAUGUGAAAAUUAUGGGCUCAACCCAUAAAGUGCAUUUGAAACUGUAGUUCUUGAGGGAUGGAGAG